This 468-nucleotide ribosomal RNA is filed under the name uncultured bacterium. Its description in RNAcentral is "partial 16S ribosomal RNA". It matches the Rfam family "Bacterial small subunit ribosomal RNA", at positions 28 to 507 of the family's 1533-position model. The record is from RNAcentral.
GACGAACGCUGGCGGCGUGCUUAACACAUGCAAGUCGAACGGAAAGGCCCUGCUUUUGUGGGGUGCUCGAGUGGCGAACGGGUGAGUAACACGUGAGUAACCUGCCCUUGACUUUGGGAUAACUUCAGGAAACUGGGGCUAAUACCGGAUAGGAGCUCCUGCUGCAUGGUGGGGGUUGGAAAGUUUCGGCGGUUGGGGAUGGACUCGCGGCUUAUCAGCUUGUUGGUGGGGUAGUGGCUUACCAAGGCUUUGACGGGUAGCCGGCCUGAGAGGGUGACCGGCCACAUUAGGACUGAGAUACGGCCCAGACUCCUACGAGAGGCAGCAGUGGGGAAUAUUGCACUAUGGGCGGAAGCCUGAUGCAGCAACGCCGCGUGCGGGAUGACGGCCUUCGGGUUGUAAACCGCUUUCGCCUGUGACGAAGCGUGAGUGACGGUAAUUGGUAAAGAAGCACCGGCUAACUACGUG